GUCUUGGUGGCGCAAUUGGUUAGCGCGUACGACUGUUAAUCGUGAGGUUGAGAGUUCGAUCCUCUCCUAGGACG
Molecule: transfer RNA, 74 nt
Organism: Aspergillus aculeatus ATCC 16872
Lineage: Eukaryota; Fungi; Ascomycota; Eurotiomycetes; Eurotiales; Aspergillaceae
Rfam family: tRNA
About the family: Transfer RNA (tRNA) molecules are approximately 80 nucleotides in length. Their secondary structure includes four short double-helical elements and three loops (D, anti-codon, and T loops).
Source: Rfam